Molecule: long non-coding RNA, 1561 nt
Filed under: Equus asinus (donkey)
Lineage: Eukaryota; Metazoa; Chordata; Mammalia; Perissodactyla; Equidae
Description: lncRNA (ENSEASG00005031692.1)
Source: RNAcentral
UGCAGGUGAAGUCAGAGGGUUGAUCUCUGUGUGUUGUGACACACAAGAGGUGACAUGACACUUGGUAGGAGGAGAGGACUCUGAUCCUGUUUUAUGGAUAGUUCGUGUGCUGUCCUCUCAAAAGGGUGGAAAGAAUGUGCAAAUGUGGGCACUCCCGUACCAUUUGAAUGAUCUCCUCUGGACCCCGCGGGAUUCGAUUUGCCCUCUCAGUCCAUCGUGCUGACUCCAGGAGCACAGUGUGUGGAUUCCCGAGGGUGGCCGGUCAGGCCAGCUCCACGUUUAUAUUUGCCUUGGCCUUCUGAGCUUCCCUUGCCUCUCCUUCAUGCGCAGACCUACCGUGCUGCUUCUUCUCCACUUCAGAGAACAGCCGUGGGCGCUGUGCAGUGAAUCCUGAGGGGAGUCACUGCCUUUCUCAGUGUCCCCCAGCAGUCAGACACAGCGGCCUUCCAGAGGGCCGAAAGGCCCGUAGUCGAGCCAGCUCUCGGAUCAACUGGGGGACUAUUGUCGUGGGGGCGUUGCUGAGCUGCCGUGUGUGAAAUAUGGUUAAAGCCGGGGACCGCGCAGCUGGGCCACUUCUCCAGAGCCCAGGAGAGAUGGGCUGGGUACUGAAAGAUUUGCUACGUGUGUCCAUUCUAUGUUGUCUUCUUAUUACACAAAAUAAUAAUAAUAAUAAUGGUAAUUAUUAUUAUUAUUAUUAUUAUUAUUAUUAGAGGAGGGUGGACGGAAACUUUGGAGGGGAUGGGUCUGUUUAUGGCACAGGUUUUGGUAAUGGUUCACAGAUGUCUACCUAUUUCCACAGUCUUUAAAUCAUAUACAUUAAAUAUGUACAGCUCUUUUGGGUCAUUCUUUCCUUCAUCCCUCAAGAAAGUGGUUUCAGAAAAUAAUAUUAAAGGCCCUCCCGUGACUACAGAUGAGCGCUCCCUCUCAAAUGUCUUUAGCUUUAGGACUGAAGGGAAGACUGCUUCUCCAUGGUUAAAGGGGUAACGGCGUUGACUGCGUGUGGAUUCUUUUGGGCCUUGGAUUUUCCACUUAUGUGGAGCCUUAGCAUUGGCCGUGUGUAAGGAUAACUUUUAGUUCACAGGGUGUUGACUUUCCUAGACUCACAGCAGUUCUCCAGAACCCAUGAACUUCACCUGAAGGACUUCGACUCAGAGAUGGGGCCUGUGACAUCAGCUACUUCUCAUGUGACCAGAAAUUGAUGUUGGGGUACUGUGACUUUGGCAUUAGGUUGGACUUUGGGUUGUUUUCCUUGUUUACAACAUGUGCUUUUGUGCUUACUCAAGAAAUCUUUUGAAAUACUGUACAUGUGGAGACGUGUCCAGCUGUGUGUGUCCUGUCCGUGUAUUCUACAGGGUGAGCGCCGAGGUCUCAGGCUGAGUAGCCUUUCCAGUAGGAGCCUUUUCUCAGAGACCUUCCCUCACGCUCUGUUUACUGUGUGACUGAGUUCCCUGGCCAUACCAACUCGGUGUGAUACUUUUCUGCUAUCCUCAUUGCUGUGUCUUUACAAUGUGUUUGCUGCUUGUGUUUCUUGCAUUUUAAAGAACCCUUGUGUUCUCCCAAU